RNAcentral lists this ribosomal RNA (402 nucleotides) under uncultured bacterium. RNAcentral's name for it is "bacterial SSU rRNA". It matches the Rfam family "Bacterial small subunit ribosomal RNA", at positions 355 to 774 of the family's 1533-position model. The record is from RNAcentral.
UGGGGAAUAUUGCACAAUGGGGGAAACCCUGAUGCAGCAACGCCGCGUGAGUGAUGACGGCCUCCGGGUUGUAAAGCUCUGUCUUCAGGGACGAUAAUGACGGUACCUGAGGAGGAAGCCACGGCUAACUACGUGCCAGCAGCCGCGGUAAUACGUAGGUGGCAAGCGUUGUCCGGAUUUACUGGGCGUAAAGGGAGCGUAGGCGGACUUUUAAGUGAGAUGUGAAAUACCCGGGCUCAACCUGGGUGCUGCAUUUCAAACUGGAAGUCUAGAGUGCAGGAGAGGAGAGUGGAAUUCCUAGUGUAGCGGUGAAAUGCGUAGAGAUUAGGAAGAACACCAGUGGCGAAGGCGACUCUCUGGACUGUAACUGACGCUGAGGCUCGAAAGCGUGGGGAGCAAACA